This is a long non-coding RNA of Salvia splendens (bonfire salvia), 1139 nucleotides long. RefSeq lists it as uncharacterized. NCBI's taxonomy places the organism in Eukaryota, Viridiplantae, Streptophyta, Magnoliopsida, Lamiales, Lamiaceae. The transcript has 2 exons. The record is from RefSeq and is a predicted model, not a curated record.
AAAUACGUCAAACAUACCAAAUGUAUAAUAUAUGUCAUUUUAGAACAUAAUUUAGAUGAUUGACAUUUAAAACAAAUCAAACCUAGCCUUAAAAACAUGCAAAAUCCGUGUUUGUCGCUCAAAAUAAAUUUUCCAGCAGUUUUUCCUCUCACUGACUUCGUUUCCCUGCUCGAUCGUCUGCAAUAGGUGAUUCCUCUCUUCCUUUUCACGACAUGCUUACGGAAUUCUCCACAUUUUUCUGCUUUAAUUGUUACAAUUUUCGUCAAAAUGUUGGUCGGCAUUUGCUUGCUUAUUUUCUAUUUGCAACUCUUUAACUUGAAAGAGGUUACUGAUUCUCUCACCGAUUCACCGAUUCUCACCAAUACAUCAUAGUUGCUGAAUUUGAUUUUGUAGAUCUUAAUCAAACAUUCAUAGGUUGUGUGAUAUUUCUAGUUAGGCUACCGAUUUAGCUUGAAAGUCAUUAGCCUAUAGAUCAUCAUUAUUUUAGCAUCGGAGUAUAAUUGAAAAGAAAUACUCAUUUAUAUGGUACAGUAGAACAUUGUAAUGACUAACCUCAUCUUCCUCUUCUUUGUCUUUUGCUAUUUUAUCUGGUGAAUUUGCAUCUUGUGCUGGUAUGGGCAAAGGUCUUGGAAGAGAUUUCACAGUAUCCAGAUACUGUGGCUGCUAAAUUGAAGGAGCAAGUUAUGGCAAGAGCCGAUGAAUUACGGGCUGCUAGGGAAGUAGAUCCAGAUUUUGAUCACAUUUUCCUUCCUUUUGGGAAGAAUAUGAUGAGAAAGCAAAUUCCCGGAGCCGGACAAGCAACAAGCAUUUAUUUCCCUAAUGCUAGCAGUUCGUCCACUGGGGGCUAGGGCGUUAGCACGGAAGAGUUACAAGCAAUGCGAGAGCAAAUCAUUAUUGAGGUGCGCGAGGAGUUGGAACAGCAAAAUGAGGCGUCCCGUGCGGAGCUGGAGAGGCAAAAUGCAGCGCGUGACGAUGAGUUAAUGAGGCAAAAUGUGGAGUUACGUGCGGAAUUUGAGAAAAAAAUGAGAGGAUAUUAGAACAGUUGUUGAACCUUAGUGAAAAGGUUAACAAAAUGAGUAAAAACUAAAAGUGUAAAACAAUUUUAGUAAAUUUAUGUAAGUUUUGAAUUUUGUUUGUCA